UGGGGAAUAUUGGACAAUGGGCGAAAGCCUGAUCCAGCCAUGCCGCGUGUGUGAAGAAGGUCUUCGGAUUGUAAAGCACUAUAAGUUGGGAGGAAGGGCAGUAAGCUAAUACCUUGCUGUUUUGACGUUACCGACAGAAUAAGCACCGGCUAACUCUGUGCCAGCAGCCGCGGUAAUACAGAGGGUGCAAGCGUUAAUCGGAAUUACUGGGCGUAAAGCGCGCGUAGGUGGUUCGUUAAGUUGGAUGUGAAAGCCCCGGGCUCAACCUGGGAACUGCAUCCAAAACUGGCGAGCUAGAGUACGGUAGAGGGUGGUGGAAUUUCCUGUGUAGCGGUGAAAUGCGUAGAUAUAGGAAGGAACACCAGUGGCGAAGGCGACCACCUGGACUGAUACUGACACUGAGGUGCGAAAGCGUGGGGAGCAAACA
This 427-nucleotide ribosomal RNA is filed under the name uncultured Pseudomonas sp. RNAcentral's name for it is "bacterial SSU rRNA". It matches the Rfam family "Bacterial small subunit ribosomal RNA", at positions 355 to 774 of the family's 1533-position model. Lineage: Bacteria; Pseudomonadati; Pseudomonadota; Gammaproteobacteria; Pseudomonadales; Pseudomonadaceae. The record is from RNAcentral.